UACGGGGGGGGCAAGCGUUGUUCGGAAUUACUGGGCGUAAAGGGCGCGUAGGCGGUUUGGACAGUCAGAUGUGAAAUUCCUGGGCUCAACCUGGGGGCUGCAUUUGAUACGUUCGGACUAGAGUGGGGAAGAGGGUCGUGGAAUUCCCAGUGUAGAGGUGAAAUUCGUAGAUAUUGGGAAGAACACCGGUGGCGAAGGCGGCGACCUGGUCCUUGACUGACGCUGAGGCGCGAAAGCGUGGGGAGCAAACAGG
Molecule: ribosomal RNA, 253 nt
Filed under: uncultured bacterium
Lineage: Bacteria
Description: partial 16S ribosomal RNA
Rfam family: Bacterial small subunit ribosomal RNA
Source: RNAcentral